RNAcentral lists this ribosomal RNA (715 nucleotides) under uncultured bacterium. RNAcentral's name for it is "bacterial SSU rRNA". It matches the Rfam family "Bacterial small subunit ribosomal RNA", at positions 787 to 1504 of the family's 1533-position model. The record is from RNAcentral.
CUGGUAGUCCACGCCGUAAACGAUGACAACUAGCUGUUGGGAGACAAGAUCUCUCAGUGGCGCAGCUAACGCUUUAAGUUGUCCGCCUGGGGAGUACGGCCGCAAGGUUAAAACUCAAAUGAAUUGACGGGGACCCGCACAAGCGGUGGAGCAUGUGGUUUAAUUCGAUGCAACGCGAAAAACCUUACCUACUCUUGACAUACUUGGAAGCUCUUGUAAUGAGAGUGUGCUUUUAGAGCCAAGAUACAGGUGCUGCAUGGCUGUCGUCAGCUCGUGUCGUGAGAUGUUGGGUUAAGUCCCAUAACGAGCGCAACCCUUACCCUUAUUUGCCAGCGGUUCGGCCGGGAACUAUAAGGGGACUGCCGGUGACAAACCGGAGGAAGGUGAGGACGACGUCAAGUCAUCAUGGCCCUUACGAGUAGGGCUACACACGUGCUACAAUGGGGAAUACAGACGGACGCUAAAGCGUGAGCUGGUGCCAAUCCUAAAAAAUUUCUCGUAGUCCGGAUUGCAGUCUGCAACUCGACUGCAUGAAGUCGGAAUCGCUAGUAAUCGCGAAUCAGCAUGUCGCGGUGAAUACGUUCUCGGGUCUUGUACACACCGCCCGUCACACCAUGGAAGUGUGUUGCACCAGAAGUAGGUAGUCUAACCUUCGGGAAGGCGCUUACCACGGUGUGAUCCAUGACUGGGGUGAAGUCGUAACAAGGUAACCGUA